UAUUCAAUUGUAAAGUAAUUCGAUUUAAUUUUCAAACCAGAGGCUAACGAGGGCGAAACAUCGAUCCAUCUUGAUUUUAUAUUUGGAUCCACUUUUGAGUGUUUCAAAUAAGAAAUUCAAUUUUUUUUUUUUAUACUACGUUGGUGGCAAACAAGCAUACGGCCCGCCUGAUGGUAAGCAGUCUCCGUAGCCUAUGUACGCCUGCAACUCAGAGGAGUUACAUGCGCAUUGCCGACCCUAAACCCCCCCCCCCCCUCGUUGAGCUCUGGCAACCUUACUUACCGGCAGGAACACAACACUAUGAGUAGGGUCUAGUGUUAUUUGGCUGCGAUUUUCUGUAAGGUGGAGGUACUUCCCCAGUUGGGCUCUGCUCUAGAUCUGGAAUGACAUCCACUGGCUGUGCCCUACCACACAAAGCGAGAUGAAAUUCACAAUGCCCAUACCUCUCUUUUGGACGUAGUUUAAGGACGUACCCGGGUCCAAAUAACAUGUAUCAAUUGGUGUGUGUGAAAUCCCCAAUCCGUAUUGUGCUAAAUUAAGAAGCACUCAACUAAAAAUAGUUUUAUCGAAAUAAUAUGUUAUGAUCCGGUUCCCUAAUAGUAAUUUAAUUGCCUAGCGGAUUAAUUACCUACGUUAAUGUUUAUCCAGCUACUUAAAGAGUUGAAGUAUAUAAACAGCAGUAUUAUGGUAGACAGGUAUAAUCUUUUCAAAUCUCGGAAAGACAGCUUGUGAAGAUGAAAUACUUCGUACUUCUCGCCAUCAUCGCCUGCGCGUGCGCCGAGCCGGCCCCGGCCACCACGGAGAUGGAGUGGAAGGCCGAAUACGGCACUUUCGGCCUUCACUACUUCCCCUACUUACCCUACUACCCCAUACCGUUUGCUCCUUCCCCCGCUGCUACCCCUGCGGAACCUACUGCAACCAAGCCUAUACCCCUUGCUCCUACCCUUGACACCAAGGCAUACAUUCCCCUUGCCCCUGCUGAAAGCACGUACAUGACUUACCCCCUUUACCGUGUUUCUUCGUACCAGCCAGAGCAUUUCUAUAACACCCGUGGAUACUACCCGGAGACUAAAUGAAUAUGACGAAACUAUGGAAUUGUAAAAAAUGAAUGAAUUAAAUUGAAACGUA
Molecule: long non-coding RNA, 1128 nt
Organism: Cydia pomonella (codling moth)
Lineage: Eukaryota; Metazoa; Arthropoda; Insecta; Lepidoptera; Tortricidae
Exons: 2
Source: RefSeq, a predicted model, not a curated record